This 60-nucleotide transfer RNA is filed under the name Portunion sinensis. RNAcentral describes it as "tRNA-Trp". RNAcentral also lists the same sequence under 1 other name. The record is from RNAcentral. Lineage: Eukaryota; Metazoa; Arthropoda; Malacostraca; Isopoda; Entoniscidae.
ACAGCCUUAAGUUAAGAAAACUAAAACCCUUCAAAGGUUUAAAUGAGGAAUCAGGCUGUG